This 354-nucleotide long non-coding RNA is filed under the name Salmo salar (Atlantic salmon). Its description in RNAcentral is "lncRNA (ENSSSAG00000090457.1, ENSSSAG00020067884.1, ENSSSAG00075048907.1)". Lineage: Eukaryota; Metazoa; Chordata; Actinopteri; Salmoniformes; Salmonidae. The record is from RNAcentral.
UCUCAGUUGGUUUAAGCUACUCAAGCGUUCAAGAUGCAGAGUCAGCUGAUCGUGUUGAUGUAUGCCAUCUCCGUGUAGGUCAGACAUCUGGAGUUUGAUGCCAUCUCUGUUUCCUUGUCAGUGCAGGUCUGGAGUUGACCAAACGGUGGCUGCAGGAGCCUUUGCAAGAGGAAUCAUCAGGAGUCUGGAAGAUUGAGGAUUCUCCACUGGACUGUUGGAGAAAAGGUUCCCUUGGAGAGUUCAUCAAUGAGCUUGACGUCUUGAUAAGUUCCUUUCCUGAGGAUGGCUCACCUCUCACAGUUCUGGACCUAUCUGCUGCCUUUGAUACGGUGAACCAUCAGAUCCUCCUCUCCA